UACGUAGGGUGCGAGCGUUAAUCGGAAUUACUGGGCGUAAAGCGUGCGUAGUCGGUUAUCUAAGUCGGGUGUGAAAUCCCCGGGCUCAACCUGGGAAUUGCAUUCGAUACUGGAUAGCUAGAGUUCGGCAGAGGGAAGCGGAAUUUCUGGUGUAGCGGUGAAAUGCGUAGAUAUCAGAAGGAACAUCAGUGGCGAAAGCGGCUUCCUGGACCAGAACUGACGAUCAGGCACGAAAGCGUGGGGAGCAAACAGG
This 253-nucleotide ribosomal RNA is filed under the name uncultured bacterium. RNAcentral describes it as "partial 16S ribosomal RNA". It matches the Rfam family "Bacterial small subunit ribosomal RNA", at positions 524 to 776 of the family's 1533-position model. The record is from RNAcentral.